CCUGAUAUUGCAAUUUUACAACAGAAACCAGUCAACAAUAACUGCCGAAGACAACGUGAUGCUGUUUUACAAACAAAAGGGUAGAUUCUCCGUAAUCCAAUAAAUUAAGAAGGUGAAACAAAAUCACCUCAGCCAAUCACAGACGACGUCCAUUAAUUGUUUCAAAAUUGCUGCAAACACUUGUUUUUAAACCAAUUGAACUCAUAAGGCAUACGAGAGCUAGCCCCUCCCGUAAAUCCAAAUUCAAAGUAGCCAAUCCAACCAAAACACUGUAUGGGUGCCUCCCCGGUAAGAAAUUCCCAGAACUCCAGGAGUUUACCAGGACACAGUGCAUACCGCUGCACAAGAAUGAACAGAGCACAAGACACAAAGCACCAAGAGAAUAACAAAGUUCUGAAAUCAGACCUAAUGAAUGUUGAAAGUGCAUAUCAACUUAAAGAUGCCCAAUCUGGAUGUGGACAUUCAUAUAUCCAGUCAGGUCCCGAAUAUUUUACACAAUGCAGCCAUAGACCCUCUUCAUUACCCUCAUACCCUUUCGGAGCAAGAUUUGGACAAUUUGUACACAUAGGAUCAAUGCUGAAAUCUUCAUUAGAGUCAUUUUCCAUGUCACUAGUUCGAGAGAUGGGAUCUGGAGGAGAACAUGAUUUUGCUGCAGCUCUAUCCGCGCUCAAUCCUUCAGCAGCGCGACUAGACACAAAUUCAGACAUAUAGAGCAUAUCAUUGGCUAUUGGAUGACCUGUAUAUUGCAGAUGCACACGUAUCUGAUGUGUCCUGCCAGUCACGGGUUCGCACAAAACGAUGCUUUGCUUCCCAUUGGUACUAAUCCUUGUAAAUUUCGUACAGGCAGCCUUCCCCUUCAGUGAAGCAGUACUAUUUCCCUGGUUAUCCCCCACCUCAACUGUGCUCCUCCCUUCUCGAGCAUUGUAAUUGACAUUAGCAUUCACAACUUGCUGCUUCUCUGGGAAUACUCCUAUUACUCUUGCAAUAUACCGUUUCUGCACUACCCCUGAUUCUAUCUGUUGCCUGAAGAGGUCAGCCCUAGAAGCACUCCUAGCCAAAAUAAGUAGUCCUGAGACCAAGCGAUCUAGGCGAUGAACCGGAAAUAAAGGUGCCAGGCCAUACUCGGCUUGUAGUAUACCAACGACCGUAUUCUUGCGGUAUUGUCCACAUGGAUGCACAGGAACAGAAGCAGGCUUGCAAACUGUUAGCACAUCUGGUUCUUCACAUAGUAUUUCGACAUCCCACGACAUCACUGGUGGUUCAUGCCUGUGCAGGAAAUGGCUAAUUUUUUGUGAUGACUGAACUACAUAUGAAACAGACACCUUUCGUCCAUCAACUUGUAUACGUCCAGACUUAACGGCAGAUUCAUAGUAAUCACGAGGUCUUCCUUUAAAUUCAUCAGAGAAGAGAUCAACAAUUGUCUUUCCAGCCCACCUAUUCUUCACAUGGGAGAUGAAUUCGAAGUAGUAAGGCUUAACAUAGCGUACUCCAUUACGGAAGAUGUAGUCAUGGCGUUCCGGUGGGUUGGCCGGAGUUUGCCACACAAUCUCCAUAUCCUCUCGC
RNAcentral lists this unclassified non-coding RNA (1563 nucleotides) under Hevea brasiliensis (rubber tree). Lineage: Eukaryota; Viridiplantae; Streptophyta; Magnoliopsida; Malpighiales; Euphorbiaceae. The record is from RNAcentral.